Molecule: non-coding RNA, 769 nt
Organism: Heterocephalus glaber (naked mole-rat)
Lineage: Eukaryota; Metazoa; Chordata; Mammalia; Rodentia; Bathyergidae
Source: RefSeq, a predicted model, not a curated record
UCUUUAUAACACAGCGGAUGCUAAAUAUGAAUAAGGCAGUGUGGGGGCACAGAAGGCCAGGAAACAGGAAGGCCUCCCCUUGGCUCUGACUUCUCCCUAAUGCUUUCCUGGUUUUAUCGCUCUGUGCUUCCUGCACUUUGUAAGUCAUUCUACCUCCCCAGCUCCAACUGUUGUCAUAUACAAGGCAGGUUUUCCAAUGCAUAACACCAGAGGGCGCCGGUCAGAAAUACCCACUCAUUUUCCUCUGAGCUUUCUCUUUCCAAAGAGACUUCUACCAAGACAAUUCCGUCCAUGUGAUUUUGCCACCAUCCGUACAGAGGAACAGCUUUGGCUGGCGGGCCAGAGGGCUACAGGGGAUUUUUCCUCUGUCUGGACACACAUCAAGCCCAACCAGAACUUCGGAAUGAUUCAGACGGGGAGGAUGAGGUCUAUCUUUUCAUUAUGCAGAAAGGACCUGCUUCAGCAAAAUACCUGUAAUACUGGCUUUGAUAAAAAUAACCAUUUCAACUGGGCGCAGUGAGGCAGGCGGAUGGCUGCAAGUUCGAGGCCAGCCUGGACUACACGGUGAGCGCAAGGCCAGGUUGUGCUACAGAGUGAGAGUCUGUUUCAAAACCCGGUUUGUUCCUCACCUGUUUCAAUGUUGACAGGCAUUAUAUAAACAGUCCCCAUGGCCCCAGCUGCUGGAGAUGACUCAUGAACAGUUUUUCCUCUAUUACAUAUGCACAUACACGGCUCGAUUUCCCCCCUUUUAACAGCUUUACCACAAAAA